Molecule: non-coding RNA, 5643 nt
Organism: Phoenix dactylifera (date palm)
Lineage: Eukaryota; Viridiplantae; Streptophyta; Magnoliopsida; Arecales; Arecaceae
Source: RefSeq, a predicted model, not a curated record
CUUCAGCCUUCACUCCUCGUUGGAGUCUAACUACCUAAACUCUUGAUUUCGACAAAUCUAGCCGAUCCAACCUAUAAGGAGGAAACCGACUCGCAAUAAAGGAAAAGAUUUUUGAUUACGGGAGGAGGGGCGGGAGGAGGCAGAGCACCCGCUAGGCACGGAUGCUGCGAGAGGGUCGUGUUAUUCAGAGCAAGCAUGUUCUUCGGAAGGCGAACUAAGCUGCAGAUUGGGUCAUCUCAUUUGCUGCUUAUUAUUUUGGAGAAUUUCUAUGGACCCAACAGACUUUUUUUUUUCUACUUUGUGUAGUCUUCUUGCUAGUGAAGUAGUGUGAGGAGCCAAUUUACCAAAAAAAAAAAAACAAAAGAGGAAAGAAAAAAAGAGAUUUUUUAAUGAUGGGCCUCCAAUCCCCCCUCUCUACACAAAGUCACCGGGCGCUAACCUCCCACCGCCUGCUCCGGCUUGUGUUCGUCUCUCCUUCCAACACCUCGCGCACACACACUCUCUCUCCCCGUUCAGUUUCUUGGUCGUCCUAAUUUUUCAAGGAUUGCGAUCACCUUUUUGCUUUAGAACAGCAACGAGCUUGCUUAUGGUUAAAAUAAAUGUCUAUGAGAGCGGUUAUUUGAUUUACUUCUGGUCUUCAUUAUUCUAUCUUUGAUUAAUUUACAAUUCUAACGUGUAGUGUUUUGCCUUUAUUCUGUUUGAAGAAAUGCCUGGCCUUCCUUUCAUAUGAAUGUGUAUAUAUAUAUACACGCAUAUGCACGGAACCGUCAAGGAAACGAUGUGAUCUAUGAUUAAAAUCAUCAUUAUUUUGCUACAUACCGAUACUUCGAAAGUCCAAACUGAACAAUGGUGUUAUUGCAAAUAAGCUUAUGUACAAGCAAAUCCAAAACUUUCAAUAAGCCAGCCUGAAGGAUGGAACUGAAAUCAAUACAAAUUAGGCCUCCGUAUCGACCAAUUCAGCCCCAACCUAACAAAGGCUAGAAAUGUUUCUCUUUUUUAAUAUAGUUUUUCCUAAACUACACAAAAGCCUAACAUGCCACCACCGACACAGAUGCCAUCCACAUCAAUGAUUUUAACUAUUCGUUGCGUUCUAUGUAUCUUAAAGCACAUGUAAACCAAGAAUCAAAUGGUUUGGAUAGUUUUGAACCAGGGAAUAAAAUAGACUAUUUGUCAUGUUAUGAAAAAUUGUCCGUAUAGCAGUCAGUUGACACAGUAACUGAUCUCCAAAACCUCAUAGAUUUUUUAAAAUUAUAUUUUUGGGCAUUUCAAGUGUGGCACAAUGAAUGGUGUUGAUUACCAAGUUCAAUGUCCUUCCAUAUGUUUUGUAUUCCAGGGCAUAGCUACAUUAUUAUGUCCUGAAACCAUGUAUAUAAUGUGGAUACACCUUAUACUCACAUAACGAAUUGCACAUCUUUCUUCAGCAGCAUUAGAUAAAUCAGGAAAUGUUAAUUCACAAAAAUGUUCUUUGUAUAUGAGUCUUUUAUGCCUACCCUUCUUCCUUCUCUUAAAAAUCAAUUCCAUCAUAGUUUUUUAUAUAUGAAUCUUCUAGGCGUACCCAUCUUUGUUUGCUUAAACAAGUAAACCAUCACUUAUCAGAAAAAAAACAUGUAAACCAUCAUAGCUUACAAUUAGCUAUUAUAUUGAGUUGUUUGCAUGUUUUAAACAGUCGCAAAAUGCAACCUGUGCAUGUUAGAACAAAGUUAGAAGCAUUGGUUAGUUACUAACUUCUAAUCAGUCAUGAUUCGCCAUACCGAUAUCCGGUAUAGGUGGCGUAACGAUACUCGAUACACCGAAAGGACUCCAUAUCAUACCGACACAGUGCUAGUGUGGCACUGGCAUGGGGUUCAGUACCGAGAUGGCAAACUUUGUAAUUAAUUCCUAGUUAGUUACAUCACUACUACAGGAUCUUAACUUCAUUAUAAUAUCUAUUAUAUGGGAUAGAGUAAGAUGGUUCUUAUUCCUUUUGCAUGUAUCAGCAACUUCUCAUAAUAUCUGUUCUGUCAAUCAGAGCAUUUUUUAUAGGCAGAUGACUUGAAAUUUGUCUAUCCAAUGAACUGGAAAGGUUUUGUGUACAGGAUUUGAAAGGAUGUGACUCUUCAACUUGAGUUACUGAGAUACUAUGUUAUAAUUUUUUAGUGUGCAUAAGCACCAUAUCUGGCGUACAAAUUUUGCUUUGGUUUAUAUUAAGCAUUGGGUUUGAGCUACCAAAAUUUGAGGAAAAAUGGUCAAAUAUUUAACAGUAAUUGAUUCAAAUCUCAAUUUGCUUGUUAUGCACAUAUAAAUUAUAUAACAACCUAUUUUUGAUCUUUUUGUGACAUACUCACAUGUUUACUCCAUGUUCGCAUGCAAUUCAUGUACCAAACAGGUUCUGGAAAAAAUACUGAGUUUAAUUCUAAAGCUAUUUUAUUACCUCUCCCCUUUGCAGGUAAAAUCACUUAAAUCCUCUUUGUGUCUGAUCAAGUUCAGAGUAUUGAAUUUGAAUCAAAUCAGGAGACUGGCUUGGUUGGAUGAGUAUUUCAGUCUGGUCUAGAUCAGAUUGAAAGUUUUAUCUGAUCCUUUUUGGGGCCUUACGGAGCUCAUCUUCAUUUUAUUUACUGAAUACCAGUGCUUGAAUUCCACGGUGGUUUUCUCUUGAGCUACGGAAUCCAUUUAUAUGGGUUUUGCCAUUGUCACAGAUAUUCUCCCUCAGAAGAGUUAGCCACUCUGCUUCCUUUACUUCUUUUGUGCCUAUUCUUUAAAUCAAAAUUUCCCUUCAUUUAUUUUGUCUAAACUUUCAUCAUUUCUUCCUUUCUUUCAGGCAUUUGCUUGAAUUUUCUGGAGAUAAAGAGGCCUAUAGCUCAUGAGUGUUUGAAUGUUUCAUUUUAACCUUUUCCUUGCAAUUAUAUAGUCUUUUUCUUAAUUGGCUUCAAAAAUCCUUGAAAAUCUGGGAAUAUGAUUGUUUCAGUUUGAGAAUUGAGACUCUGUUUAUGUUGUUAUAUGAGUAGUUAGUGUUACUCUUUUGUUCACACAAGAGAGCCCUUUUUUAAUUUUUAUAAUAAUGUUGACUUAAAUUUCUUUUCCUUUUAAAUUUUCCUGUCUGUAUAGUGCCUCUCUGUUUUAACAUGGUUUAAAAGAUUUGGGCCCCCAAUCUGAACCUUAAGUUUGAACCCAUGGAUCGAGCAUGGAUCCAAACUAAAACCCAAACUUUGAUUGUUUGAGUAUGGAUCUUGCAGAAUUGGAUCACACCUGUUUGAACCAGGUUAUCUUUAGUGAAAUGAAUUAGAAGUUCAGGGUCCUGCCCAUAUUUAGAAACAGUACAACAUCUUUCUAGGCUAUGCAUAUGCAGCCUUAUAUUCUCUGAUGAUAUCCACUGGUACUCCCAUAUGAUGCAUGAGGUGUUUUAUAAGGGUGGAUCAAACUAAACUGGGAUGGGUGGAUUUUGAUUUGCAGACGUUGAUUCUGUUUGCCAUGAUGCAGAGGUUGAACAGAAAUUCAAAAAAAAAAAAAAACUGUUCGAUAGUACGUAGGAUCUUGUCAUAUAGUCUUGUGGUUAUUAAAGAGCAAAAUUCUGUGAGUUUGCUUUGAUGGUGAAUGAACAUGUUUAGAUUAUUCAUAAUUCUCCUGAGAAACCAAAAUGGACACCCUUUGUGUCUAGAGCUUUCAGCCUCAACUUUGAUGUCAAUGCAAUGAAAAAUCCAGAUCAACUCCUACAUCCAAUUCUAUUCUUACUUCUGCCUUUAUAUUCUCUUCAAUAAUAUUAUUUAUUAAAUAUUAUCCGGAAUUCAUUACCAAUGGGAGGAAUUUAUGGGGGCUAGUGCUUCAUCAAUCUUAAGUCUCAACUUAUUGGAGAUGCCAGAAUUCAUCUAAAAAGGUGAUUUCUGGUUGUUCGACAAUCUUGAGAUUUAGAUAUUUAUGGAUGACCUCAACCAAUCAGACCUGUUCAUCCUUUGCCUCUAUUUCCUCAUCUGUUCACUCCAUCCCGCUCAUGUUGGGAAUAUUGAAGUAUAAGCUGAUUAGCUUUCCAAACAGGAUACAAGAGUACAGGGUCAAUAUUAGAGCUUUACUUCAUAAGCUCCUUUGAGUAUGAUCUGUUAUUUUCUUGAAGUAUUAAAACUGCUACUUAGACAAAGCCCCUAACUUAGGGAGGAAUAUCUGGCCCUUCAACUUUAAAUAUUUGGUCUUUUGUUAUGAUACUGCAUAUGUUUGGUUAGACUAGGAUUGUUAAAACGGAGGGCCUGUCCUCAUAGAGAAUAGAAGUUUGGAAGAGAAAAUACAUGGUUAGAGUUUCAAUUUUAGGUUUGUACUGAGUAUGAAAGAAAUACUUAAAAGGCUCAUCCCAAAUGUAUUAAGAGAGUGCUAGGUGAUAUGGGACAAAAAGAUUCAUGUGAAAUAUUUCAUUUUGGGAUAUAUGUAUUCCUGGGCCCAUCUAUUUCCAUACCUCCACCAAUUCAAAUGUGCCUUUUCAGGUUGGAUUGAUGUAUUUAUUGUGUGAAAAGAGAGGAUACAUGUUAGCAUGAUGAUUCACAGCAAGCCGCCUGAAAAGUAUACUGAUGACCGUGAUAGGAAAUAUAAGACAUGAUAAAACCAUAUCUCAAUACUGUUAUGCAAAUUAAACAUAAAAAAUGUUAUAUUCUGCCUAUGCAAUCUAAUUUCACAUCAACUUUGGGAGUAAGUAGUUAAAUCAGAAUUUAUUCAAUGGUUUAUUGUGUUGCUUCCUUGGAAUAGUUAAGAGCUCUUCGAGAAAUAUUUGAACAUGGUUGUAAUCUCACUUUUGAAGUUUUUUUUUCCUCUCUCAUUUUGCAGUUUGGAUAUUAGCCUCUUCAACAUGUUAGACAGACAGCAUCAAGAAUUUUUGCUUGUAAUACUCAGGAACCCUGUCAUUCUUCUAGUACAUUCAAGAAAUAUUAUUGACAUCCUCAAAAUGUUGAAUUCCCACCCAUACUGCCAAAGAAUAAAAAAAAGUCUUUCUCUAUCCCAAUAAAAAAAAUCAUACAGGCUUCUGGACAGGAUAAAAAACUGGCUGAAAUGGGUAUAGAGAAGCCUCUUGAGCCCCCCAAAGAAUGUGUUACUGGUACCUGAUCUUGUUCCUGUUGCUUAUGAGGUACUGGAACAUUGGAAAGGGCUGAUCCAAGGCCUUUCCCAGCUUCUGAAUGUUGUUACAGUUUAUGGUUGUAGCAAAUGUUCUGCAGUCCACGUUGGUCCCAUUGGCCACCGGAUUCAGGACUGCAGAGGCACUGGAAGUGAGCAGUGCAGGAACCUCCACUGUUGGUUUUGAGGUUCCAUCAAUGAUGCUCUUAUCCCCAUUGAAUCAUACCACCUGUAUGUCCCCUUUGGGCGGCGCAUCAAGCACAAGACUCAUUUCCCAGCAGUUGUAGAGCUACGCAUUCAAGCAGGAGUUGAUUUGCCAGAAUUUCCUUCACGCCGACGAACCAUGCCCAUCUGAAUGCUUGGGAAAAAGAAAUCAUUUCCUGUGGAGCUGGACAUGGGGCAUAUGACUUGCUUGUAGGUUUUCCAGUGUACAUUCUACAUCUGUCUUGGAAAGAAAUGGUUAUCCAAAGUGUUAUGCAAUACACAUCCCUGUAAAGAAUUAUAGCUACUCUCUUCAUGCAUGGUGUCAAACAACAAGAUGGGUCCUCUAUGUUCAUAUACUUCCUAAUUAUCUAU